AUGAAAAUCGUAAGCUGGAACUGCCGGGGACUCGGGAAUGGCCCGGCAGUUCGCAGCCUGCUCGAUUUGGGGAGGAGAGAGGAGCCCGACAUACUGUUCUUAGCGGAGACAAAGUUGACGGUGAAGGAGCUGGAAAGAUUUCGGUGGAUAUUAGGGCUAACGCAGAUGAAUGCUUGGAACCCGGUUGGAAGAAGCCGAGGGCUGGCGAUGUUUUGGAGG
RNAcentral lists this ribosomal RNA (219 nucleotides) under Triticum aestivum (bread wheat). RNAcentral's name for it is "partial small subunit ribosomal RNA". The record is from RNAcentral. Lineage: Eukaryota; Viridiplantae; Streptophyta; Magnoliopsida; Poales; Poaceae.